This 586-nucleotide ribosomal RNA is filed under the name uncultured bacterium. Its description in RNAcentral is "bacterial SSU rRNA". It matches the Rfam family "Bacterial small subunit ribosomal RNA", at positions 338 to 916 of the family's 1533-position model. The record is from RNAcentral.
CCUACGGGAGGCAGCAGUGGGGAAUUUUGGACAAUGGGCGCAAGCCUGAUCCAGCAAUGCCGCGUGAGUGAAGAAGGCCUUCGGGUUGUAAAGCUCUUUUGUCAGGGAAGAAACGGUGAGGGCUAAUAUCUCUUGCUAAUGACGGUACCUGAAGAAUAAGCACCGGCUAACUACGUGCCAGCAGCCGCGGUAAUACGUAGGGUGCAAGCGUUAAUCGGAAUUACUGGGCGUAAAGCGUGCGCAGGCGGUUUUGUAAGUCUGUCGUGAAAUCCCCGGGCUCAACCUGGGAAUUGCGAUGGAGACUGCAAGGCUAGAAUCUGGCAGAGGGGGGUAGAAUUCCACGUGUAGCAGUGAAAUGCGUAGAGAUGUGGAGGAACACCGAUGGCGAAGGCAGCCCCCUGGGUCAAGAUUGACGCUCAUGCACGAAAGCGUGGGGAGCAAACAGGAUUAGAUACCCUGGUAGUCCACGCCCUAAACGAUGUCUACUAGUUGUCGGGUUUUAAUUAACUUGGUAACGCAGCUAACGCGUGAAGUAGACCGCCUGGGGAGUACGGUCGCAAGAUUAAAACCUCAAAUGAAUUGACGG